Molecule: transfer RNA, 53 nt
Filed under: Bacillus subtilis
Lineage: Bacteria; Bacillati; Bacillota; Bacilli; Caryophanales; Bacillaceae
Description: tRNA-Ser
Rfam family: tRNA
About the family: Transfer RNA (tRNA) molecules are approximately 80 nucleotides in length. Their secondary structure includes four short double-helical elements and three loops (D, anti-codon, and T loops).
Source: RNAcentral
AGAGCGCCUGCUUUGCACGCAGGAGGUCAGCGGUUCGAUCCCGCUAGGCUCCA